This is a long non-coding RNA of Aedes aegypti (yellow fever mosquito), 814 nucleotides long. RefSeq lists it as uncharacterized. The record is from RefSeq and is a predicted model, not a curated record. The transcript has 3 exons. Lineage: Eukaryota; Metazoa; Arthropoda; Insecta; Diptera; Culicidae.
AAUAAAUAAUUGAAAAAUAAUAAAAUAAUCUUUAAAACGUGCACUACUUGAAACAUUCAAUCAUGAAUAAAUAACAAAAAUAAUCCCGAAACAUGGGUAAUAUAACAUUUCUACAUAUUUACAAUAUUCACAGCAAAACAAUUUUACAACCCUAUUUCUACUAUUUACAUUUUAUACAUUCAGAUCACAUUCGAUCUUUCGCUUCGGUGUACCCCUCGCGCAGGCGGGAUUCAUCGGCGGGCAAACUGUCACUCGAUCGAUCAUCGGUGACAGAUCGCGAAAUGUCACUCAUCGGGAAACGAUCAAUCGUCACGACAUAUCGGCAUGAUCAAUGUUUAUGUUUACAUGAUCAUGCAGAUAUGUGUUGGAAUUGAUCAAUGAUCAUGUUUUCGACGAAAAGCGGCCAAAUUUUCAUCGAAAGAAUAGGGUGUAUUGGUGUCGGAGAUGGGAUGAUCUCCAAGACGGUCGGGCUGUUUUGCUGCCAGUGCAAUGAUCUUCACGUCGAAGAUUUGCCUGCAGAAAACCCCCCGGAUUCCCAGGAUUACCAUGCAAGCCAUCUUGAAUAAACAAGAUGCACUGCAGGGUUAUUCUGCUCAUCGUUUCCCUGUUCACUGGUAGUGAUUUUCACGGUUUAAAUUGGGUGGAAUUAGUGCAUCGAAGUUCUGAGGACAUGACGAGAUGACUCCUCACCAACCCAUGCAUUCCGCUCCCGGGUUCCUGCUUCAAUCAACUACUCGGAAAUUACGGAAAACAAUUGAGAAAACCUAUAUAUGGAAAAAUAAAGCUAUUUGCCAUUUCUGUUCGCGCCGCAGGA